Molecule: ribosomal RNA, 113 nt
Filed under: Pseudoplesiops annae (Anna's dottyback)
Lineage: Eukaryota; Metazoa; Chordata; Actinopteri; Pseudochromidae
Description: partial 16S rRNA
Source: RNAcentral
ACCAAAGACCUAGCCUACCACCCAACAAUAAACCACAAACAUUAAUAAUACAUUAUACACUUAAAAAUAUAAAUAAAUCAUUUUUCCCUUUAAGUAUAGGAGAUAAAAAAAAG